Molecule: ribosomal RNA, 270 nt
Filed under: uncultured bacterium
Lineage: Bacteria
Description: partial 16S ribosomal RNA
Rfam family: Bacterial small subunit ribosomal RNA
Source: RNAcentral
GACGAACGCUGGCGGCGUGCUUAACACAUGCAAGUCGAGCGGUAAGGCCCUUUCGGGGGGUACACGAGCGGCGAACGGGUGAGUAACACGUGGGUGACCUGCCCUCAGCUCGUGGGAUAAGCCUGGGAAACCGGGUCUAAUACUGGAUAUGACUCCAUGACGCAUGUUGUGGGGUGGAAAGCCUUGUGCGGCUGAGGAUGGGCCCGCGGCCUAUCAGCUUGUUGGUGGGGUGANGGCCUACCAAGGCGACGACGGGUAGCCGGCCUGAGA